GUGAGGAAUAUUGGGCAAUGGGCGAAAGCCUGACCCAGCCACGCCGCGUGAGUGAUGAAGGCCUACGGGUUGUAAAGCUCUGUGGGGAGGGAAGAAAAAGCGCAGGAGUAACUGCCUGUGUGUUGACGGUACCUCCUUAGCAAGCACCGGCUAACUCUGUGCCAGCAGCCGCGGUAAUACAGAGGGUGCAAACGUUGCUCGGAAUUACUGGGCGUAAAGCGCGUGUAGGCUGACAUGCAAGUCGGGUGUGAAAUCCCAGGGCUCAACCUUGGAAGUGCACUCGAAACUGCACGUCUUGAGUACUGGAGAGGGAAGCGGAAUUCCGGGUGUAGAGGUGAAAUUCGUAGAUAUCCGGAGGAACACCAGUGGCGAAGGCGGCUUCCUGGACAGUAACUGACGCUGAGACGCGAAAGCGUGGGGAGCAAACAGGAUUAGAAACCCUGGUAGUCC
Molecule: ribosomal RNA, 450 nt
Filed under: uncultured bacterium
Lineage: Bacteria
Description: bacterial SSU rRNA
Rfam family: Bacterial small subunit ribosomal RNA
Source: RNAcentral